Molecule: long non-coding RNA, 1159 nt
Filed under: Vulpes vulpes (red fox)
Lineage: Eukaryota; Metazoa; Chordata; Mammalia; Carnivora; Canidae
Description: lncRNA (ENSVVUG00000014688.1)
Source: RNAcentral
AAAACAAAUGAGCUAUUAAGCCAGACAAAGCCAUGGAAGAAUGUUAAAUGUAUAUUACUAAGUGGAAGAAGCCAAUCUAAGGAGGCUGUUUACUGUAUAGUUUCUACUCUUUGACAUUCUGGAAAAGGCACAGGAAACUAAAUAAUUUUAAUGGUUGUCAGUGUAAGGGGGGUUUCAGGAGCAGGAUGAAUAGGAAAGCACAGCGGCUUUUCAGGGCAGUGACAACACUCUAUGUAAUGAUACCUGUCAUAGUACAUUUGUCUAAACCCACGGAAUAUAGAACACCAAGAGUGAAGCUUUAGGUAAGCUAUAGACUCUGGGUGAUAAUGAUGUAUCAGUAUAGGUUCAUCAAUGACAACAAAUGAACCACGUUGGUGGGAGAUGUUGAUAAUGGGAGAGGCUGGGGGGGGUAAGGAGUAUAUAGGAAUUGUUUGUACUUUCCUCUCAAUUUUGAUUUGAACCUAAAACUGUUUUUAAAAAUAAUAUACAUUUUUUUUUUAAUCCAGCAGGUAGCUGUGGAUAAUUUCUGAAUAGCCAAAGUGAUUGGUCAUCAUUACCAGACCUACAUAGUAUGUCCAAACUUGUGUUCUGGGGUCCACUGAUCCUGAAGUUCCCUCACAGUCCAGAAACCAAGACAAGACAAAUGAAGUGUACCUGACACAGGAAAUGAGGGUAGUCAUUUGGGUGAUAGAGCACCAGCUCCCCAUAAAAUGCUUGGAGUGAGGUGGGCAGUGAAACAUAAGGCGCCAGUCACAGUGCUCGUAUCUGACUUCAUGCUGGGAAAAACACACAUUGUAAAAUAAGCAUUCUUCAAAGACAACCUGAAGACAUCUGGGAAUUCCAAAGGCUGAAAAUUCCAUGAGUUCAUAGAAGCUUUCACUAAUUCUACUGAUCUAAAGACAAAAAGGAAAGAGUCAACUGUGUGCCCAAACUCAUUUCUGAUGAUUUCUUCCAUCCUACCCCUUCUGCCUCUCUGGGGGUGGCUGUGCCUGUAAAAAACAUUGAAAUUGUCAGGAACAGAGUCAGCUUUCAAGAUUGGAAUGUCAGAGUAGAGUCUUCUUUUCUUUGGACCAGAGGAGGCUUGGUUCGAUUUAUGAUCUUUGAUGUCUCUCCUUUCCUAGUCUUGACUAAGGAUAUUAUCCCAAGUGUGUGCUCCUGA